AGAUAACAAUGAUACCAGAAUAAAUGAAUCAUGCUUUGGAGAAAGUACUCAUAUACUGAAAAUGAAAUUUUUUACAAAAUAUACUAAUUUGAACACAGAAAGCAAUUGGAUUAAAAGUGAACCUUUGUAUCUUUUCAUUGCAAUAAAUACAGGAAUAUUUAUUAUAAAUGUUCAAAAUGAAAACAUUUCCUAUUACAGUUUUAGAGAUUUUAAAUUGAAUGAUCAAGAACUUAAAUUUCCCACAAUUAUAAGAUCAACUAAUAUUUUUUAUUCAGAUGAAAC
Centruroides sculpturatus (bark scorpion) is the source of this 282-nucleotide long non-coding RNA. RefSeq lists it as uncharacterized. Lineage: Eukaryota; Metazoa; Arthropoda; Arachnida; Scorpiones; Buthidae. The record is from RefSeq and is a predicted model, not a curated record. The transcript has 3 exons.